Molecule: ribosomal RNA, 870 nt
Filed under: Reticulonectria setadpressa
Lineage: Eukaryota; Fungi; Ascomycota; Sordariomycetes; Hypocreales; Trichonectriaceae
Description: Trichonectria setadpressa partial large subunit ribosomal RNA
Rfam family: Eukaryotic large subunit ribosomal RNA
Source: RNAcentral
ACCCGCUGAACUUAAGCAUAUCAAUAAGCGGAGGAAAAGAAACCAACAGGGAUUGCCCCAGUAACGGCGAGUGAAGCGGCAACAGCUCAAAUUUGAAAUCUGGCCCUCGGGUCCGAGUUGUAAUUUGUAGAGGAUGCUUUUGGCGCGGUGCCUUCCGAGUUCCCUGGAACGGGACGCCAUAGAGGGUGAGAGCCCCGUCUGGUUGGAUGCCAAGCCUCUGUAAAGCUCCUUCGACGAGUCGAGUAGUUUGGGAAUGCUGCUCUAAAUGGGAGGUAUAUGUCUUCUAAAGCUAAAUACCGGCCAGAGACCGAUAGCGCACAAGUAGAGUGAUCGAAAGAUGAAAAGCACUUUGAAAAGAGGGUUAAAUAGUACGUGAAAUUGUUGAAAGGGAAGCGUUUAUGACCAGACUUGGGCCUGGCUGAUCAUCCGGUGUUCUCACCGGUGCACUCUGCCGGCUCAGGCCAGCAUCAGUUCGUAGCGGGGGAUAAAGGCGGCGGGAACGUGGCUCCCUCGGGAGUGUUAUAGCCCGCCGUGUAAUACCCUGCGUCGGACUGAGGUUCGCGCUUCUGCAAGGAUGCUGGCGUAAUGGUCAUCAACGACCCGUCUUGAAACACGGACCAAGGAGUCGUCUUCGUAUGCGAGUGUUCGGGUGUCAAACCCCUACGCGUAAUGAAAGUGAACGCAGGUGAGAGCUUCGGCGCAUCAUCGACCGAUCCUGAUGUUCUCGGAUGGAUUUGAGUAAGAGCAUACGGGGCCGGACCCGAAAGAAGGUGAACUAUGCCUGUAUAGGGUGAAGCCAGAGGAAACUCUGGUGGAGGCUCGCAGCGGUUCUGACGUGCAAAUCGAUCGUCAAAUAUGGGCAUGGGGGCG